GACGGGGGCCCGCCCAACCGGCGGAGCAUCCGGAUUAAUUAGAUGCAACGCGAAGAACCUUCUCAAGGCUUGACAUGGACCGGACCGGGCUGGAAACAGUCCUUCCCCUUUGGGGCCGGUUCACAGGUGGUGCAUGGUUGUCGUCAGCUCGUGUCGUGAGAUGUUGGGUUAAGUCCCGCAACGAGCGCAACCCUCGUUCCAUGUGCCAGCGCGU
Molecule: ribosomal RNA, 214 nt
Filed under: uncultured Actinomycetes bacterium
Lineage: Bacteria; Bacillati; Actinomycetota; Actinomycetes
Description: uncultured actinobacterium partial 16S ribosomal RNA
Rfam family: Bacterial small subunit ribosomal RNA
Source: RNAcentral